GAACGGGUGAGUAACGCGUGAGCAAUCUACCUUAGUUACAGGGAUAGCCCGAGGAAACUCGGAUUAAUACCUGAUAUUCUUUAUAUUUCGCAUGAAAUUAAAAGGAAAGGUCAGCCGAACUAAGAUGAGCUCGCGUUCUAUCAGCUAGUUGGUGAGGUAAAAGCUCACCAAGGCUACGACGGAUAGCUGGUCUGAGAGGACGAUCAGCCACACUGGGACUGAGACACGGCCCAGACUCCUACGGGAGGCUGCAGCAGGGAAUAUUGCGCAAUGAGCGAAAGCUUGACGCAGCGACACCGCGUGUGGGAUGACGGAUCUAGGUUUGUAAACCACUUUCAGGAGGGAAGAAAAUGACGGUACCUCCACAAGAAGCCCCGGCCAACUACGUGCCAGCAGCCGCGGUAAUACGUAGGGGGCGAGCGUUGUCCGGAUUUAUUGCGCGUAAAGAGCUCGUAGGCGGUUCAACAAGUCGGUCGUGAAAGUUCAGGGCUCAACCCUGAAAUGUCCAUCGAUACU
RNAcentral lists this ribosomal RNA (516 nucleotides) under uncultured bacterium. Its description in RNAcentral is "bacterial SSU rRNA". It matches the Rfam family "Bacterial small subunit ribosomal RNA", at positions 100 to 634 of the family's 1533-position model. The record is from RNAcentral.